This 606-nucleotide ribosomal RNA is filed under the name Gephyromantis moseri. Its description in RNAcentral is "partial 12S ribosomal RNA". The stretch from base 1 to 458 matches the Rfam family "Bacterial small subunit ribosomal RNA", at positions 881 to 1533 of the family's 1533-position model. The record is from RNAcentral. Lineage: Eukaryota; Metazoa; Chordata; Amphibia; Anura; Mantellidae.
UACAAGCGUAAGCUUAAAACCUAAAGGACUUGACGGUGUCCCAUCCACCUAGAGGAGCCUGUUCUAUAAUCGAUGAUCCACGAUAUACCCUACCAUUUUUUGCCAUUCAGCCUGUAUACCUCCGUCGACAACCCACCAUUUGAAUGAUAAGAAGUGAGUUUAAUGGUCUCAUACACCAAUACGUCAGGUCAAGGUGCAGCCUACAAAAUGGAAAGCAAUUGGCUACAAUUUCUAACAUAGAACAAACGAAAUACUACAUGAAACACAGUCAUGAAGGCGGAUUUAGUAGUAAAAGAAAAUAGUUAAUUUUUUUUAAUAUGGCCCUGGGACGUGUACAAACCGCCCGUCACCCUCUUCACCAGCUUCCUACUUAUUUAUUAAUACCUAAUUAGCACUACAGAAGGGGCAAGUCGUAACAUGGUAAGUGUACUGGAAAGUGCACUUGGCUAAACAAAGUGUAGCUUAACUAAAGCCUCUUGCUUACACCAAAAAAAUAUCUAUUAAACCUAGAUCACUUUGAGCCCAAAAUCUAGCCUAUAAAUCCUGUAUAUAAACCCAUAUCAUUUAAAACACACUAAAACAUUUUAAUAGUUUAGUAAAGGCGAU